GGGAUCAUGGCACAUGUUACAAACUCAAACAGACCAGAACGAUGCCAGGUGAGAAGGAAAAGCCCCUCCGUAUUCCCGCCCCCGCCCCCCCAGAAGGGAGUGUGGCCACAGCUGCCUGAUGGACCUUUCAGGAAGGUCUCUGUCCUUCUCUGCACGUGGGCCUCCUGCUCAGCCUCGCUCUCUCAGAUGCGGACGCUCAGAGCACACCUGCUCACGGUAAGGUGAUGUCAGGAGACAAUGUAUCAAUCAUGAGAGCCCGGGUGCAUCCAGGUUCACGGCAGCACAAUUCCAGCAGCCAAGAGGUGGAUGCAACCCAGUGUCCAUUGAUGGAUGAACGGAUCAACAAAUGUGCUAUAGCCACACACUGGAAUACUAUUCAUCCCUGAAAAAGAAUGCAGUACUGUCACAGGCUACAACACGGAUGAACCUUGAGGACAGUAUGCUAAGUGAAAUCAGGCACAAAGGGCACAAAUACUGUAUGAUUCCACUUCUACGAGGGACCUAGAGUAGGCAGAGUCAUAGAGACAGAAAGUAGAAUGGAGGUUGCAGGGGCUUGGGGAGAGGGGGAAACGGGGAGUUAGUGUUUAGUGAGGACAGAGCUUCAGUUUGGGACGAUGAAGACGUUCUGGAGAUGGAUGGUGGUGACGGCUGCACAACAAUGAGAAUGUACCUAAUGCCACCAUACCUGAUGGACACUUAAAAAUGCGCAAAGUGGUACCUUUUACAUAAUGUUUCUCUUAGCACAAUAAAACCAGAGUAAGUGCCUUAAACGGCAGCUCUUAUGGUCACUCGAGCUCCUGGGACAACAUCCUAACAGGAGUUAACAGUAGGCGAGUGCAUGCCAGGCACCCUGCUACGUGUUGUACACAGAAAGUGUUAACUUGGCCAAUCCCAUCACAAUCCCACAACCAGGUGUUAUUAUGACCCCAUGUGACAGGGGAGGAGACCGAGGCACACAGAGGUUAGUGACUUGCUCUCUGUCACACAGAGCAGUGGAGGAGGGCUCACGGGUGGGUGGUCGGAGCCCCCAGCCUGCACUAGGACCACUUGGCUGGGGGUGGGGGAGGGAAGGUGGGAGCACCUUGGGGGGAGACCAGGACGGGGUUCCCUGCAGCAGAGGCAUCUGGGGCUCUCUCUUUCCCAUGCUCUCCUCCUUUUCCCCUCCUCCCCUGGGGCAGGCGGGUGAGAAGCCUGGGCGGCUGGGGGCGCAGCUGCUGGCGGAGGUGACAGCAUGGCAGAGGAUCAGGCUGUGGUGGGCCAAGGUGUCCAGGUAAAGGGGUGAAGGCGCAGAUGUUGCAGAUGCCACUCUCAAAGCCUCUGUCAUCUGCUGAAGAAGCUGGGAGACAAGAGGACACACAUGGUGGGCUGGGCUCAGAAGGAGCAGUGUGUGCGAGUGAGGAGGACCUGGGGUUCUGCUGAGGUGGCCGGGGCCAGCGAUGCUCAGGGUUGUGGCCUUCUAAGAAGAGGAGAGAGCUGUCUCUCCACCACGUGAGGACACAGCAAGAAGGUGGCCAUCUGCAAGCCAGGCAGAGAAUCCUUAUCAGCAACUGCCCUUCCUGACCCCGAUCUUGGACUACCAGCCUCCAGAACUGUGAGAAAUAAACACCUAUAGUUGUAGCCCCCUAAUCUAUGGGAUUUGUUGCAGCAGCCCUGGCUGAGCAAGGAAGGACCUGACCUAGGGGCUACAACAUCUGGGCUCCGGAAGGUUCCAGCACUAACCCCAGCCCUGGCAGGAGGUGGAUCCACGUGCAGAUUCUCUGCCCUGUUUCUGGGAGGGGGGAGAUGAUGGGCGCCCCUCAGUGGAGAGCUGUUUAUGGUACAACUAGCUGAAGGGCCUGAUCCAAGACCACAAAGUUCAUCAGAAGGAGAGAACCUGGCAGAGGGCCAGACCUCCAAACAGGAAAGAAUCGGGUUGCCUUGUGACAGCUGGGCCUGGGUCACCAACCUGGAAGUCUGCAGGAGACUCCAGCAGGGCGCUGGAGGGACCUGUGGCUCCUGGGAGGGGAUGGGGUUGGGGGAGAGGACAGGUGGAUCGUGGGGGGCUGUGCCCCUCAGCCAGGAGAAUGAGAGGUGAGCCACAGGGCUCUGAGGUCUGAGAAAUCCAUGAGGAGGAGAUGAGAGUCCCAGGGCACGCUGGCUGGUCUCUGGGGACUUGGGCAUCAGCCCCUCUUCUAGCAUCCCCUCUGGGAUCUGUGGAUCCCUGAGCUCUGGAAAGCCGCCCAUCCUCCCGAGCCGGGGACCCGCAGGGUUAGCCCAGACUGCUCUGGGCACGGGUGGGGGUGCAGGGUCAGAGCUGGGGGCAGAAGUGAGGUGCCGAAUGCUGGGUCGACCCCCGCAGAUCCCGCGGUGGGCGAGGCCGCCCCUGCCUCCCUCUUCCAGGAGCAGACCACGAAGAGUCUGGGGGCAGCAGAGGAGGAGAGACCGGAAGGGAACGGCCGGGGGGGGCUACAGGGCACGCUGGGGUCAGCACCGACCGCUGGAGGGAGGGACGAGUGAUUCCUUCUAGGGGGACAACAAGCGGCCGUGGAAAGCGGUGCCCGUUGCGGCGGGGGU
RNAcentral lists this long non-coding RNA (2553 nucleotides) under Equus asinus (donkey). Its description in RNAcentral is "lncRNA (ENSEASG00005027860.1)". The record is from RNAcentral. Lineage: Eukaryota; Metazoa; Chordata; Mammalia; Perissodactyla; Equidae.